Molecule: long non-coding RNA, 20920 nt
Filed under: Ananas comosus (pineapple)
Lineage: Eukaryota; Viridiplantae; Streptophyta; Magnoliopsida; Poales; Bromeliaceae
Description: long non-coding RNA (ACOM_LNC042890)
Source: RNAcentral
AUUCACAUAAAUCAUAUUUAACAUGGAUUUGCAUUCAAAAAUACUUUACGACAAGUAUAGAAACAUAGGGGGCUAUUUUGUCCCGUGUUCAUGAAGCCAAAUCCACCGAAGAUACCGAAACCCUUCGUAAGCUUCGACGAAGGUGUCGACUAGUCUCCUAGCACCCUAAAGAUGUAGGAACAAGGGUCAAACAAAACUUAUGAUCAAACCUACGCUCAAUCAAUAAGCAACAUAGGCUAAGGUGGAGAAAAACUCACAUAGGUGAAGAAAUCCUCUCUCAAACUCUAAAUGGGAGUUAGAGUUCUUCAAAUCCAACCUAAAUAAAGGUUUCAAACUCAUCAAUUAGGUUUCAAGGCCCUCAAAACUAAAAAGCCCCAAAUCUAACCCUAGAAUCCCAAUCUAGGAUUUCAUCAAGCAAAAAGCUCCAAAACUAGGAUCUAGGGGAGAAGAACUAGUCACAUACUUCUAGGAAGCUCCAAACCAAGUCCAAGAUCCUCAAGGGUUAAGGGUUGGUCCACUACCAAGCUUCAAAAGCAAGCUCCAAGUCCCUCAAAGGUGAGAAAUGAGAGGGAAGGGUUGAUGCUCCAAGGCCUUCAAGCAAGCUCCUCUCCUUCUCCUCUAACUCCUUCUUCUCCUUCUCUUUUUCUUUCUAAAGUGGGUGUGAGGGAGAGGAAAUGAGGGUGGGAGAGAGAGGAGAGGCUCUAUAAGCCUUCAAAAGUAACAAAAUCCACUUAGGUCCCUCAAAAAUCCACUCUGUGCAUUGCCCGGUCUGGGCUGAUUUCGCGCUUAGGGACCGGUCUCUUCGACUUGGGACCGGUCUCUCAGCCUGCCCCGAAAAUCCAACGUUAGGGAAUCGGUCUCUCCCCGCACGGGACCGGUCUCUCCCCGUGCAGACGCGCUCGGGGACCGGUCUCGCCUACCAGGGACCAGUUGCCUUGCCAGCUGCCGCAACACUGAGCUGAGGGGACCGGUCUUUCAUAUCAGGGACCAGUCCCCGAGAGUGAAAACUCUCAGGACAAAGCCAAAACUCUAGAGAUCGAACUUUUAGGCCGGAAUACCAUCUACGGCCUUCCACCAAGUGUGGAAAAGUUCAGAGUACUCAUCAAACACUCAAACCUCGCAAUUUGCAAAGGUCCAGUGUGCUACAGUUAGGGUGGUCGCGGCAAUGUAGAUCACCCAUUCCAUCAUCAACAACUUCGAAUGGGGUAUUGAGAGGUCCGAAGAAAUAGGGAAUCAAAGAUUCCCCUCACUCUCCCAUCGAAGCCAUCUAGAUGGUAUGGAUAGUUACGAUCGCAGGACCAAAAAAGAAAAAAAAGAGCGGGAAGAAAAGAGAUUUUUUUUCUUCUUCUUCAUUUUUCGUCCUUUUUUUUCUUUACCUGUUGAUCAAAUGACGGAUUGGAUGAAUCAGCUCGACGAUUCCUCCACCUUUCCGCGGCUCGGCGAUCCUCCUCCUUUCCGCGGCUCGGCGAUAUCUCCUUUUUUUGAAUUUUUUGUAUGUCGGAACGAGUGUAGCAAUCUAUCUAUUUUUUUUGUUCUUUGUCUAUCGUAUCAUCUUCGUAAAAAAAAAUUCUCCCAUGUUUGAUUUCAGUUCUCGUAUCUAUAAUGGGAGGGGUGGUCAGAGAUAUUUUGAGGGAUUCGAAAUUCGAAUUUGAAUUUUGAAUAGGUUGUUAGAUAGUUGGAGGUUUUUUGGGAAUUGGUUGGAGAUUCGAAAUUCGUAAUCGAAUUUUGAAUCGGUUGUUGGAUGGUUGGAAUUGGUUGGGAAUUCGAAAUUCGAAAUCGAAUUUUAAAUCGGUUGUUGGAUGGUUGGAGGAUUUUUGGGAAUUGCUUAGGGAUUCGAAAUUCGAAAUCGAAUUUUGAAUCGGUUGUUGGAGGAUAUUUUGAAAAUUGGUUAGAAAUUCGAAAUUCGAAAUUGAAUUUUGAAUAGGUUGCUGGAUGGUUAGGUAUUCAAAAUUCGAAUGAGAGAUAUUUUGGGUGUUGGUUCGAAAUUCGAAAUCGAAUUUCGAAUCGAAUUUAAAUAUGGUAUUCGAGAUUGAAUUUUUAAAUGUGGGUAAAAAUGUGGGCCGUUAUUUCAUGAAUUGGGCUGAAAUUGGGCCCACUUUGAUGAAACUUGUUGGGUAGGAAUAUUCAUUGGGCUGAGAUGAGGCCCGAAUUUUUGUAUAGGCCUAAAAUCUUACAGAGCUUUUAUGAGGCCCAUUAAUUCACAUUUAUGAAUGGGCCUAUUGUGGAUUAAAAUCAUAAUUAUUGGCCCCAAGAUUUCUCGGUCAACAUGAGACCUAUUGGGAUUGUAUGAAUCCGAAUUUAAUCAGUUUUAAUUACUUUACCCCAAUUUUUUUUCACUCCAAACAGUACCUGAUGCUCGGCUUUUACCUGCUGACAAGUCAAACACUGAGCCACAAAUCUGCCAAUGUCUCUUUUCAUUCCAUUCCACCAGAACUGUGCCUUUAAGUCCUUAUACAUCUUGGUUCCACCAGGGUAAACCGUAUAAGGAGAACAAUGAGCCUCUCUCAAAAUGUCCUCUCGGAUCUCUGAAUCCACUGGCACACACAGUCUGUCCCUGUACCGCAGUACUCCCGAACUGUCCACAACAAAACCCUCGGCCUGUCCCCUCUCCAACUGCUCUCGAAUUCUCGACAAGUGCGGAUCUCCACUCUGUUUCUCUCGGAUCCUAUCCAACAGAGUGGGCUGCAAGACCAUAGACAUCAGUCUUGUAGUAGAUCCAGGGAACACUAUCUCGAGCCUCAACCGCUGCAGCUUCUCGAGUAACGGCCUCUGCUGAGUAAUCAACAUGCUCAAGCCUUGCACAGCCUUCCUGCUGAACCUAUCUGCCACUACAUUUGCCUUACCGGGAUGAUACUGAAUAUUAAUGUCAUAGUCCUUCAGUAACUCCAACCACAGACGCUGCCUCAGAUUCAAUUCCCUUUGAGUAAAUUGAUACUUGAGACUUUUAUGAUCGGUGAAAAUCUCGCAGUGCUCGCUGUACAAGUAAUGUCGCCACAACUUCAAGGCAAAAACUACCGCGGCAAGCUCCACGUCAUGCGUAGGGUAAUUCAUCUCAUAAUCCUUUAACUGCCGUGAAGCAUAAGCAAUUAUCUUACCAUGCUGCAUCAGCACACUACCCAAUCCACUGUGCGAUGCAUCACUAUAGAUCACAAAUCCUUCCCCCAUCACUGGAAGGGCAAGGAUAGGAGCUGACAUCAACCUCAGUCUCAACUCGUCGAAGCUCCUCUGACAGUCCUCACUCCAAAGGAACCGAAUCCCCUUUCGAGUCAAUCGAGUGAAGCGUGUGGAAAGCUUCGUAAGCCUUCCACAAACUGACGGUAAUAUCCUGCCAGUCCCAGAAAACUCCUCACACUACUAGAAAAUUAGUCAUUAGUGGCAUUUAUUUAUGCUGCUGAAUGAUCAACAAAUGCUGCUAAAAGUUUUAGCAGCAUAUGACACCAAAUGCUGCCUAUGCCAAUGUUGCUAAAAGUAUUAGCAGCAUUAAUUAUAAAUGCCGCCAAUAUAAAUCAAUUAGUGUCAUUAGGGAUAUGCCGCUAAAAGGGAUUAAAUGCUAAUUUAAAUUGUUUAUUAGCGGCACAUAAAUAUAAUGCCGCUAAUACAAAUAUAUGAUUUUAGAAAUUAAAAUUUUAAAAUUUUAAUUUUAUUUAUAUUUAAUUUUUUUGAGAUGCUACCUGCUUCAUUUAUUUUUUUCGUCUUAAACUUUGCUGGAAAUGUGAAUCAACUAGGAUUCGAACUUAGGGCUGGCAAAUGAGCGAGCCGGCUCGCGUUCAACUCGCGUUUGACCCGAUAUUUGGCUCGCUCGAGCUCGACUCGAAAUUAAAUGAGCCGAGCUUGAACAAAAAAAAAGGCUCGAAAUUCAUUUCAAGCCGAGCUUGAGUAUUACUCGGCUCGUUCGAAUUAGGCUCGACAAGCUCGAAAAGCUCGAAUAUAUAUAUAUAUAUAUAUAUACUAGUAGAGCUACUAUGCUAUCGAAAGUAUAGAGAUCUGUGCUUUCGAUUUUUUGAUUCUUAGAUCAAUCCUUUAAUCGUUUUUUAUCUUUGGAUUAAUAUUAUUAUUACCUUGUAGAGACCACUAAUCUAAGGUAUUGUUUAAUCCUAGGGGAGACGCAAUCAUCCAACCAUUAAUUUUAAUCAAAUCGUCAAAAAUUCAAAAACAUCAAAUUCUCUAUAUAUUUCGAUAGCAUAGUAGUUCUACACUAUAUAUAUUAUUAAAAAAUAUAUAAAAUAAUGUAUUUUAAUUAUAUAUAGGCUGAUGUGAAAAUCUGAGUUUAGUUAAAAUGGGCAAUGUUGUUGCCAUAAAACAAACCAAUAGACAAAUAAAAGAGAAAAUUUUACUAAAUUUAUAUAUUUUUUCUUUCUUUCUUUCUUUCUUCACAGAGCUCUAAUUUUCAAUAUGUUUAUUCUUUCUUCUUUUUCUGUCUCUCACCCUAAGUGGCCAAGCCAGAAGUCCUCUAAUUACCAAGUAAACAUCAUAUGCCCGCCGUUGCCUACCCUACUAUUAAUUGUAUGCUGAAAAAUAUACAUAAUAUUUUUAAAGUAAAAAAUUAUUAUUCAUAUAAAAUUUUAAUUUUAGUUAUGUAUGAUUGGAUAGUUUAAUCCAAUAUUUAUCUAUAUAAUUUAUUUAUGUUUGACUGCAUAAAUAAAAAAUGAAUAAUAUAGAGAUUAAAGGCGGAAAAAAAAGACAUGUGAGAUUGAAAAAAUUAGAUAUUCAACUCAUAAAUUAUCUUUUUCAUAUUAUAAUACUAUAUUUCAUAUAAUUAUUUUGUACUUUGAAUUAUUAGACAUAUUUUUUGUAUCAAUUAUAGAUAAUGUUCUAUACAAAUAAACUAUUGAUCGUAUAAUGUUGAAGAUUUCAAGCGGCUCGUUGAGGGCUCGAGCUCGCUCGACUUGAAAAUUAGGCUCGCUCGAGCUCGCUCGAUUAAUUUCAAUCCAACUUAGAAGCUUAAAUUUAGGCUCGAAAUUAAUUUCAAGCCGAAUUUGAGCCGAGGUAAGCUCGCUCGAGCUCGGCUUAUUUCCACCCGAGGACGGUCUUAGCGGGAGGCAGCUGAGGGCCUACGAUGAUGGACUUAAUGUGGGCAAGUUAAUGUGGCGAAACCCCCGGGUUAGCCGUGAGAUUAAAUAACAAAGAACAAGAACAAAGAUUAAAGAAUAAAGAGUAAAGAACAAAGAACUUGCAUACUUGCAUGAUUUACAUUGAGCAUAUUUCUUGCUUUAUUGUUCGAGCAUAUUAGCAUCAUGAUUAUAGUUGGUUACUAUUCUGCUUAUCCUUUCUAUUAUGCUUGAGUUAGUCCUAGUGGGAAAGUCGGUGAGAUUGGGGCCGAACCCACUGGGAACUUCUUUGUAGUUCUCACCCCACUAUUCCACAGAGUCGGGACCGAGCGAGCCGGCAAGCGACCGCGGUAAAGGUAUCGCACCCUAGACAGUGGCCACCCGAGUCGGGCUUUAUAUUUUGUUUGUAGUAUACCCCUUUAUCAUCUUUUGUAUUUGAUAAUUUAAGAUGUUGAUGUAUAAAGCAAAGAAAGAAAAGAUUGUAAAGUUUAUUUUGAGACAUUGUGAUGUAAAAAGAAAUGAUGCAAGUGAUGUAAUGAAAUGUAAAGAAUCAUGAAUAUGAAGGUUAAAUGCAAUGUAUGUGAUCAAAAGAGAAUUAUUGUACUUGUGUAGAUGUUUAGUUUCCUUUCUUUCACUCAUGGCUAUUGCUUACCCUCGUGUAAGCCGUUUGUGUAUGUUUCUGCUAGUGCACUUCUUGUUUGAAAAUAUACAGGUGAUGAGCCUUGGGCGGAUAGGAGAAACUCUGUCCGUUCGGCGUCUGUUUGACGUGCUCGGGCCGGCCCAAAUUGGUAUCGAUCCCGGGGCAUGACAGAUAUCGUGGUAUCAGAGACCAAGAGUGAAAGAAUAGGAAUGAACUUAGAGACCCUUAGGAUUGGAAGACCUCAAGGAUCUAGGAAACGUGAGUGACGCGGAAUCGAAGUUAGCGAAAGCAUGUGAUUGGGUUAAGUUGGGAUGUCUCUAAUGUGAUUAGAGGCUAAGUUUAAUUUUCAUUUGUUUCCUACUCCUUGUUUUGUGUCGGGCGGCCGACGACAUGAUGCUUGGGGCGAGAAUGAAUGCAUAAGUUGCUUUCACCGAGUAAUAUUGGUCAAGUAGCUAAUGCGAGUUGCUUCUUUUCAGGAAGCAAUGGCACCUCAUGGUCGACCGCAAACAAGGUCGAUGCCUGAGGAGUCGAAUGUGGCGCCCGAGCGAUCUGGAGCGAGUGGCGACGGAGAGCUUAGGGAGCAGAUGGCCGCGCUUAUCGGCGUAGUGCGGUAGCAAGCGGAGUCUGUUCAACGUCAAGGGGAGCAGAUUCAGCUGCUCUAAGAGGCUUUGGAGUGUCAGCAAGCGGCGGCUCGGGCAGGUGUCGAGCAUGUCGCGCCCUCUGUGGUAGUGCCGAGCGUGGACGAGGGAGCGGCGGCAGCAGCGGCUGUUCCAGUUACGGUAGUACUGGCCAGAUCGGGAACCUCAAAUCCCGAUAGUGCGGCGAUAGAGGCGGAGCGGGAGAGCACGUUGGCGGCUCUCAUAAAGUUUAAGAAGUUCGACCCACCUACCUUCGAUGGCGGUUUGGUGGAGCCAGCGGUUGUGGAGUCGUGGAUCGACUCGAUGGAGACGCUCUUCGAGGAUCUCAAUACCUCGGAGAAGGACAAAGUGUACCUUGCCACCCAUUGUCUUGAGAAGAUGGCGAUGGUGUGGUGGAAACGAGUUAAGCGGGAUCGACCUACCGAUCUUCCGCUUAUGUUAUGGGAGGAGUUCAAGAGAGCAGUCUUCGCGAACUACUUCCCCGACACGGUGAAGCGGAGGUUGCAAGAAAAGUUUCACAAGUUGAGACAGGGUGACCGAUCGGUGGGAGAAUAUGAGCAAGAGUUCUCUUACAUUAUCGACUGCGUUCCCAAUGUUGUUCGAGAUGAUCGGGAUCGGGUUGAUUGGUUCAUACGAGGACUCCAGCCGAGGAUAUAUGAAAAGAUGCAGAUUCUGAAGCUAACGACCUUUGCGGAGGUCUUUGAUAGAGCAUUGUGGGCGGAGCACGGUAGCGCUCACGUUCGAGAGGAACGGGAGGCUAUGGCCGAAGGCAAGGAUAAGGGCAAGAAGCGAGCGGUGGGUGGUGCCAGAGGCCGGCCAAACUCAAAGAAACCCCCUCGGUAUCCCCGGCAGUAGUCGAGGAAUUGGAGACCACCUCGGUGCGUUAUUUGCGGCGGAGCGCACCGAGUGUCGACUUGCCCGCAGCGUGAUGGCAAGUGUUUCAAGUGUGGCCAACCGGGACAUCUUAUCCAGGAGUGCCCGAGCUGGACGUCGUCUGCGCCGACGGCGGCAUCAGCACCAUCUACCCCGAGACAGCUUGCGGGGUUGCCACCAGCGAUGUUGGCUGGGUGCGUGUCGUCACCGCGUCAGCCGGAGGGAUCGAGAGCGCCUAGCGGCCGAGUCUUUGCCGCUCAGGUGGAGGAGCAGCAACCUGCAGCACCCGACGACGUCGUGGCAAGUAUAAUUGUGAUUAAAGGCAGUAGAGCUAGAGCAAUAUUUGAUACAGGCGCAUCUAAUUCAUUCAUUAGCAUAUCAUUUGCUAAAACUCAUGGCAUAGAGAUGGUAUACAACGAGGAUUAUUGGUGGGUGAACGCCCCAGAACAUUCAUUCAGUGUCCACAAUGAGUGUUUGGCGUGUCCAGUGCAAAUAGGCGAUUGGAUUAUGCCGAUUGAUCUGCUAGUGCUAGAUCAGAUGUGGGGAUUCGAUGUUAUCUUAGGGACCAACUGGCUCUCUAAAUACUAUGCGGUUAUAGAUUGUGAAAGCAAGGUGAUCACUUUUCGUGAGCCUAAUCAAGAAGAAUUGGUGUACCAAGCAUGUAAAAGUAGGCGCUUCGCGGCGACCAUAUCGUCUGUAAGGGCGAAGAAAAUGAUCAAAGGAGGGUGUAAGGCCUAUUUAGCAACCAUGGUGGAUGCUCGAAAGGAGUACCCAGAGUUGGGGGAUAUUCGAGUAGUGUGCGAAUACCCGGAUGUGUUUCCGGCGGAGUUUUCGGGACUGCCACCGGACCGGAAAGUUGAGUUCGUCAUUGACUUGAUUCCCGGGGCGACGCCAGUUUCGAAAGCUCCGUAUAGAAUGGCACCGGUGGAGCUAAAGGAGUUGAAAGGCCAACUACAAGACUUGCUCGAUAAGGGCUUCGUGAGGCCGAGCGUGUCACCGUGGGGAGCUCCGGUGCUAUUUGUGAAGAAAAAGGAUGGCACACUUCGACUCUGCGUUGAUUAUCGUGAGUUGAACAAAGUAAUGAUAAAGAACAAGUACCCGUUGCCGAGGAUUGAUGAUUUAUUCGAUUAGUUGCAAGGGUCCAAGGUGUAUUCAAAGAUUGAUCUCCAAUCGGGGUAUCAUCAACUAAAGAUUAGGCCGAAGGAUGUGCACAAAACGGCGUACCGUACGCGUUAUGGCCAUUAUGAAUUCACGAUAAUGCCGUUUGGGCUUACUAACGCCCCGGCAGCAUUUAUGGACUUAAUGAACCGAGUCUUCAUGCCGCUGUUGGACCAGUGCGUCGUGGUGUUUAUAGACGACGUAUUGGUUUACUCGAGAAGUGAAGAGGAGCACGAAGAGCAUCUGAGAGCUGUGUUGCAAAUACUCAGACAGGAGAAGCUCUAUGCAAAGUUGAAGAAGUGUGACUUUUGGCUAAAGGAGGUCAUAUUCUUGGGUCAUGUGGUAUCGGGCAACGGAGUGUCAGUAGACAGGAAGAAAGUAGAGGCAAUAAAGGAUUGGCCUCGCCCGACGAAUGUAGCGGAGGUCCGCAAUUUUCUCGGACUCGCGGGCUAUUACCGGCGGUUUGUGGAGGGGGGUUCGCCAAAAUAACCACUCCACCAACGCGCCUUACCCAUAAAAGAGUAAAGUAUGUUUGGAGUGACGAUUGCGAUCGAAGCUUCGAAGAGUUGAAGAACAGGUUGACGUCGACCCCGGUGCUUGCCUUGCCGACUCCGGGGGAGACCUUUGUAGUGUAUAGUGAUGCCUCUUAUGUUGGUCUCGAGUGUGUGUUAAUGCAAAAUAGACGAGUUAUUGCAUAUGCAUCGUGCCAAUUAAAGAGUUAUGAGAAGAACUACCCGAUUCACGACUUCGAGUUAGCCGCGGUGAUUUUCGCGCUAAAGCUUUGGAGGCAUUACUUAUAUGGUGAGCAUUGCGAGGUCUACACAGAUCAUAAAUGUCUAAAGUACUUGUUCACCCGAAGGAAUUGAACAUGCGGCAGCGGCGGUGGUUGGAGUUGUUGAAGGACUACGAUGUCACUCUACUAUACCACCCCGGGAAAGCCAAUGUCGUGGCCGAUGCUCUAAGUAGAAAAUCGGCGGAGAACUUAGCGAUGGCGAUUACGCCUCAACCGCUAUUGCAAAAGGAGAUGCAAAGGCUUGGGUUGGAAGUGGUAGCGCAGGGAGUGCCGGCUACACUUGCCGCAUUAGUUCUGCAACCGACCCUAUUUGAAAGGAUCAAGGAACUACAAGCCUCGGAUCCUUAUUUUCAAAAGAUACGAGGAGAAGUUGAAAAUAGCAAUGCCGAAGACUUUGGCAUUGGAGCUGAUGGCACACUUUGAUUUCGAAAUCGAUGGUAUGUGCCUAAAGAUGAUGAGUUACGAAGGGCGAUCAUGCAAGAACACACCAAUUCCCUUAUAGUAUACACCCCGACGGUACUAAAAUGUAUAGGGAUUUGAAAGAGCAUUAUUGGUGGCCGGGUAUGAAGAAGGAUAUUGGGGAGUUUGUGGCGCAAUGUUUAACGUGCCAACAGGUGAAAGCAGAGCGCCGAUUUCCGGCGGGAAAGCUACAAAGUCUAUCAAUACCCGUUUGGAAAUGGGAAGAUAUAGCGAUGGACUUUAUUACCGGUUUGCCUCGAUCACAAGGCGGACACGAUGCGAUAUGGGUCAUAGUGGAUCGAUUGGCAAAGUCGGCACACUUCUUGUCGAUACAUACUACGUGGUCGGGAGACAAGUUAGCUCAAGUUUAUCUCAACGAGGUUGUGAGACUUCAUGGGGUUCCGGUAUCAAUUGUAUCGGAUCGAGACCCUAGGUUCACAUCCCACUUUUGGAAGAGCUUGCAGGACGCGUUGGGCACACGGCUCAACUUUAGCACAGCAUUUCAUCCUCAGAGUGAUGGACAGUCGGAGCGGAUAAUACAGAUCCUCGAGGACUUGCUUCGAGCGUGUGUGCUAUAUUACAAAGGAGGAUGGCAUGAUUUCUUGCCGAUGGCGGAGUUCGCGUAUAAUAACAGUUAUCAAGAGAGUAUAGCGAUGGCGCUAUUUGAGGCACUAUAUGGUCGAAAGUGUCGUUCUCCUAUCCAUUGGAGCGACGUGGGUGAGAGAACGGCUCUUGGCCCGGAUGUAGUGUGGGAGGCGGAGGAGAAAGUUCACCUUGCCCGUCAACGGUUGGCGAUGGCGCAAUCUCGGCAAAAGAGUUAUGCCGACAAGCGGAGGAAAGACUUAGAGUUCGCGGUUGGAGACCGCGUAUUUUUUAGAGUAUCGCCGAUGCGAGGAGUAAAACGUUUUGGGGUUCGUGGGAAGCUAAGUCCCCGUUAUGUCGGACCAUUUGAGAUAUUGGAGCGUGUGGGUGCGGUAGCGUACAAGCUCGCACUACCACCGAGACUCGCGGGAGUUCACAACGUGUUUCAUGUGUCAAAUCUCCGAAAGUAUAUUCGCAACUCGACACAUGUGUUAGAGUACGAGCCCAUGGAGCUACGUGAAGAUAUGUCUUAUGAGGAGUACCCGGUGUGCAUCCUCGGUCUAGAAGAAAGGAAGCUGCGGAGUCGCAGAAUUCCAUAUGUGAAGGUCCAAUGGAGCAACUAUGCGGUGCGAGAAGCCACUUGGGAGCUUGAGGAAACUAUGCGGAGAGAGUAUUCGCAUCUAUUUGAGUCGACAAGUUAAGGUAUGCGUAAUUUCGCGGACGAAAUUAUUCUAAGGGGUGGAGAAUGUAAUAUACCGAAAAUUCGGAAGAUAAAUAUCGAACUUUAGUCAAAUUGACCAAAGUGCGAGGAUGGUACACUUCGGAAAGUCCGAAGGUGUUAAAAUGAUCAAAAGUGUGUUAUGGGAGGUUUUCGAGAGCUAAAGAAUAAAAAAUCUGCAAACUGCAGUUUUUGAGCUCUCUGGGACCGGUCCCUGGUGGGAGAGAUCGGUCCUCGAACGCGUGAGAAAUGAGAAAGGCUGAAAAUCGGCUAAGUUUCAGAAAACCAGCUCUUAGGAACCGGUCCCUGCAGGGAGAGACCGGUCCCCGAGAGACCGGCCCCCAGUGAGAGACCGGUUGCAUCGCGUGUGCGCCCUGCUGCCCGCGGGGAGAGUCCUCUGGGACCGGUCCCAAGUCGGGGAGACCGGUCCCCGAACACGAAAUCUGCCCAGUUCAGGCAGUGUAAUAAGAUAAAAGCUGAGGGGUUUAUUUGCAUUUAUGCAAUAUGUGGGUUAUGUUAUGAGGGGUUAUGGGAUAUUUCUCUCAUUUUCUCCCUCACACUUCCUCUCUUCUCUCUUUCUCUCUCUAGAAGACAAGAAGAAGAAGAAGAAGACAGAAAAGAAAGGAAAAGAAGAAGAAGAAAGUGGAGAAGAAGGAGUGAAAAAACUCCCUCUUCCUCAUCUCUAACUUGGAGGGAAAGCUUUGAGGUAAGUUUUGAUCCCUUUUAUGGUAAAACCUAAAAAUGAGAACCCAAUGACCUAAAAAUGGUUUUAAUUGAGCCUAAUAAGUGUUUUAAGCUUUCUUUUGCUUGUGGAUGAGAUCAAAACCGAGAAUUGAGUGUUGGAGGUGAAGCUUAGAGGAAAGCUUCAACCUCUCUCAUGGUAGAACCCAAACUAGGGUUUGGAUUAAGCUAAGAAUGGUUUUUAUGGAGUCUCUAGAGUAGAUUGAAGCUUCGUUUGCUUCCUAAUGAGAUCAAACCCUAGGUUUGAUAUAUGUUAUGAGCUAGGGCACCCAAAUUGGGGCUUUUGCUUGUGAGGGUUCUAAAAUGAAAUUGACCCUCUAGAAACCUAAUUGGGGGUAUUUCCGACGCUUUGGUGCGCUCAGAUUAACGUUACGAAAAGCCAAUGUAAAGAUAUGAGCAAAAUGGCUUAAUAGGGCUUCGUUUUGCCGCAAGUGACGAACUAGGAGUCUAAAAAUCCCAAGAAAAUUAUUGUAGCAUCCUAGUACGCCUACGAGGUGGGUGGUGCUAUCCAAACUUGUUGGAAUUCCUUCUAUGCUUAAUGUGUCAUUCAUUUGAGCAUAUGUUUAUAUUGUUGCAUGCAUUAUAGGGUAGAUGUGAUGUUAUAUAUGUGAAUGUUGUAUGAUGUGAGUACACGUGCUAUUUGAAAUGUUUGAGAACCUAUUCAACCCUAUAUGUAUGCAUGAGAUAUAAUGCGAGCACCCAAUGAGAUGAUAGAACAAGCGACACAAUAAAGCAUAGAUCGAGUGGCAUUCGAUAAUGUAAAGUAAAGUAACAUUAGAGUUAGUGUGUGUGGCAUUAAAGAGAAAUGUGAUGCAAAGAACAAUGAUAAUGAUUAGAGACAAAAGAAAGAAAAUGAAAGUGGCAUAAAGAACGAGUAAAGUUAAAGAAUAAUGAUUGUUAGAGUUAGCAAAAUAAAGUGAUGUAAAGAACACUAGAGUUAGUGUAAAAACAAUGAUUGAACUAUAUAUCCUUAGAGUUAAGGAUCGAUCAUACUUGCUAUGAGUUUCGUGCUCGAGGGCGGUAGCUCCCUCUCGAGCGAUGCGCUCCGGAGUUUUGCAUCACGGGUUGGAGUAAACCCGAGGACGGUCUUAGCGGGAGGCAGCUGAGGGCCCGCGAUGAUGGACUUAAUGUGGGCAAGUUAAUGUGGCGAAACCCCCGGGUUAGCUGUGAGAUUAAAGAACAAAGAACAAGAACAAAGAUUAAAGAAUAAAGAGUAAAGAACAAAGAACUUGCAUACUUGCAAGAUUUACAUUGAGCAUAUUUUUUGCUUUAUUGUUCGGACAUAUUAGCAUUAUGAUUAUAGUUGGUUACUAUUCUGCUUAUCCUUUCUAUUAUGUCUGAGUUAGUCCUAGUAGGAAAGUCGGUGAGAUUGUGGCCGAACCCACUGAGAACUUCGUUAUAGUUCUCACCCCACUAUUCCACAGAGCCGGGACCAAGCGAGUCGGCGAGCGACCGCGGUAAAGGUAUCGCACCCUAGACAGUGGCCACCCGAGUCGAGCUUUAUAUUUUGUUUGUAGUAUACCCCUUUAUCAUCUUUUGUAUUUGAUGAUUUAAGAUGUUGAUGUAUAAAGCAAAGAAAGAAAAGAUUGUAAAGUUUAUUUUGAGACAUUGUGAUGUAAAAAGAAAUGAUGCAAGUGAUGUAAUGAAAUGUAAAGAAUCAUGAAUAUGAAGGUUAAAUGCAAUGUAUGUGAUCAAAAGAGAAUCAUAAUACUUGUGUAGAUGUUUAGUUUCCUUUCUUUCACUCAUGGCUAUUGCUUACCUUUGUGUAAGCCGUUUGUGUAUGUUUUCGCUAGUGCACUUCUUGUUUGAAAAUGUACAGGUGAUGAGCCUUGGGCGGAUAGGGAAAACUCUGUCUGUUCGGCGUCUGUUUGACGUGCUCGGGCCGGCUCAAAUUGGUAUCGGUCCCGGGGCGUGACAGAUAUAUUAAUAAUUAUAUAUUAAUUAGUAAUGAUAUUUAGUAACAAGUGCCGCUACUUUAUCAUUUUUAGCGGCAUUCACUAAUUUAUGCUGCUAAUUUAUCCUAUUUUGCAACAUUAAUAGUAAAUUGCUGCUAAAUAAUUAAAUCUAGCGGCAAUUAUCAAGUAAUGCUGCUAAAUAUAUUAAUUGACAUGAUUUAAAUAAAUGUUGCGGAACAAAUAUUGCGGCAUUUAGCAAUAAAUGCUGCUACUUUAUUACAUUUAGUGUCAUUUUUUAUAAAAUGCUGGAAACUUUAGCGGUAUUCACUAAUUUAUGCUGCUAAUUUAUUCUACUUUGCAACAUUAAUAGUAAAUUGCUGCUAAAUUAUUUAAUUUAGCGGCACUUAUCAAGUAAUGCUGUUAAAUAUAUUAAUUAGCGUUAUUUAAAUAAAUGUUGCGGAGUAAAUGCUGCUAAAUCAUGAAUUUGUAGUAGUGUCACCUCAGUCACCGUCGUCGGUCUGGGCCAAUCCCAAAUAGCAUCAAUCUUCUUUGGGUCCACUGCUACUCCAUCCGCAGAAAUCACGUGGCCCAAAAACGUAACCUCCCGUAGCCAGAACUCACACUUCUUCAACUUGGCAUACAACUACUUCUCUCGCAGAAGCUGUAGCACAGUCCUCAAGUGCUCCUCAUACUCGGCAUCGCUCCGGGAGUGUAUCAGAAUGUCAUCGAUGAAAACUACUACAAAUCUAUCCAAGAACGGCUUGAAACACCCUGUUCAUCAAAUCCAUAAAUGCGGCAGGGGCAUUCGUCAAUCCAAAAGGCAUUAUUGUAAACUCAUAACACCCGUACCGAGUCCGAAAAGCCGUCUUGGGAACAUCCUUGGCCCUCACCCUCAGCUGGUGGUAACCUGACUGGAGAUCAACCUUCGAAAAGACACAAGAUCCUUGCAGCUGAUCAAACAGAUCAUCAAUGUGCGGCAAAGGAUACUUGUUCUUGAUGGUCACUUUAUUCAGCUCCCGGUAACUGGUCGAACAAAUCCUCGAUUCGGGAAAGUGGGUACUUAUUCUUGAUCGUGACUUUGUUCAACUCUCGAUAAUCCACGCAGAGUCGAAACGAUCCGUCCUUCUUCCUUACAAACAACACCGGGGCUCCCCACGGUGAUACACUUGGUCGGAUGAAUUUCUUGUCAAGGAGGUCCUGUAACUGACUCCUCAACUAUUUCAGUUCUGCCGGCGCCAUUCGGUACGGAGCCUUCGAGAUCGGCGCAUUACCGGGAAUCAAGUCUAUGAUGAACUCGAUCUCCCGAUCCGGCGGUACCCCCGGUAACUCUUCGGGAAAUAUAUCGGGGAACUCCCGUACCACUAUCAACUGUUCCAAGGUCGGAGUCACUCGAUCCACUUCUACAACGGUCGCCAAGAAUGCUGCGCAACCACUGUUGACCAACUUCCUUGCUCUCGUUGCCGACACCGUCGUGGCGAAGCACGAGCUCCGACAAGCCCGAGCUCCGACAAGCCCGAUAAGUGAACUCCUUUUGUCCUGGCUCUCGAAAUGUGAUCACCCUAUUCUUACAACCAAUCGUUGCAUGAUACUUAAAGAGCCAGUCCAUGCCCAAUAUGACGUCGAACUCCUUAAGGUACUUGAGUUCCAACAUCCGAAUAGGCAUUAUCCAGUCACCUAUUUGUACUGAACACGAUAAACACUCCGCAUAGGUGUUAAAUGUCGACCCAGGGCCCUCCACUCGCCACUUGCCCUUACUCGCCUCUAUGACUAUGUCAUGCAUGCGUGCAAAUGAUCUACUAAUGAAUAAGUCUGUGGCACCUGUAUCAAACAUAGCCCUUGAGCGAAUUCCGUUAAUCAAAACCAUACCUGCCACAAGGCGAUGCUCCUCUGCCUCCGCAGGCUUCUCAGCUUGGACCUGAGCCGUGAAUACCCGGCCGCUCGGGGCCGAACGCGCCAUCUCGAGCUGUCGUGGGGCCAUCGCACGUCCUGCUGCCGCCGGGGGAGCUCCUCCAUAAUGAGCAGGAGCUGCUGGUGCGAAUGCGAUAGAUGGAGCAGGUGAAGCUCCUCUUCUCGGGCAGUCGCAUGCGAAAUGUCCCGGUUACCCACACUUGAAGCACCUACCUUGGCGCUGGUCGCAUCACGACAUCGGGUGAUCUUCGCCGCCUGUGACACACUGCCAAGCUCCACGGCCCUUUUGCUAAGUCCGCGGAUACUUCGGGGGCUUUUUGAAACUUGCUUGUCCCCCCGAACCUCUGCCCUGACGUCUCUUACCUUUGUCCUUGGACUCGGCCAACAACUCGCGCUUCUCUCGGACAUGGGCGUCACCGUGCUCCGCCCAAAGCGCACGGUCGAAGACCUCCGCGAAGGUCGUGAGCUUGAGUAUCUGCACGGGCUUGUAAAUCCCCGGCCGAAGCCCUCGCAAGAACCAAUUGGGCCGAUCUCGGUCAUCUCCCACUACAUUCGGGACACAGUCUAUGAUAUGGGAGAAUUCCUGCUCAUACUCCGCCACUAAGCGGUCCCCCUGCUCUAACUUACGGAACUUCUCCUGGAGCUUCCGCUUCAACGUGUCAGGGAAAUAGUUGGCGAACACCGCCCUCUUGAACUCCUCCCACAACAUCGGCGGAAGGCCGAGAAGCCGAUCCCACUUGACCCGCUUCCACCACACCUUCGCCGCUUUCUCCAAGCAGUGGAUGGCAAGAUACACCUUGUCCUUCUCCAAGGUACGCAAGUCCUCGAAGAGCGUUUCCAUCGAGUCAACCCACGACUCGACCAUCGCCGGUUCUACCUUCUCCCCUUCAAAGAUUGGCAGGUUGAACUUGUUAAACUUCAUAAAAGCCGCCAACGCACAGUCCCCCUCCGUGUCUUCGGCCGUCGCAUCGGGGGUCGCCCAACCUAACGCCGCUGGAGGUACAUUUGCCGGCGGGGGACGUGCCACCACCGGAACCGCCGCUAUACCCUCACCCUCUGCCGCUUCGGGUACACGUGCCAAGGGCGGGGGUGGAUCACGGCCGUCCGUCGUCGUUGCAGCUGUCGCUGCCAGUUGCCGCUCCAUCAAUUCUCGGAGUAGCCCAAACUGACUAGCGAGUGCAGUCACUUGCUCCCGCAGCUGCUGUAUCUCACUAGGCCCAGCUCGCUCAGGGGCCUCAGAAGGCUCAGGCAUCCUGGGAGGUCCAGCUUGAUCUGGCACCUCAGAAGUCGGUGCCGGAACCAAUCUACGCGUAUAGCAUCUCUUCGGUGCCAUUAGCACCUAAAACGCAAAUACUUGGUUAAUCAUCUUAGCCAAUUACUUCGUCGCGACCAUGACUCAAACAAAACAACAACAAAAUCGGGCGGAAGCACACAAGUGUACUCGUCCUAGGCUCUCGGUAUCAUGUCGUCGGCCGCCGACACAACCACCUCAAUACAAGAACUAAUACCACUUGAAUCCUCUCUAGCAACUACUAGAGACAUAUCACUAACUUCGACCCAAUCGAAUCACUUCCGCCACCGUUAUAGGUUCACGUUCCACUCACGCACCUACAACCUUAGGGUUCACCAACCUAGGGUCUCCUAGGUCAUCCUAGACUUUCUCUUUACUUGCUCUUAAUUGCUCUGAUACCACAGCUGUCACGCCCCCGCCCCGGGACCGCUACCAUUUUGGUCCGGUUCGGGCGUGCCGGACGGACGCCGAACGGACAGCACCUCCCCUGUCCGCCCAAGGCUCACAACCUGAUCAUCUACAAGAAUUUGCCCAGGAUAAAUAAAUUCAUACAUACACGAUCAACAGGGCACAAACAGUGCCAACAACAAAGAGCAAGAAUCCAUAAGCAUAUACGAGUGAAAUAAAGAGAGAGAUAACUACUAGUUAUUACAUCGCAUUUGCAUUCUUUUUACAUUUACAUCAUUCUUUUCCUCAAAAUGAAUACAUCAUAGCUCUCCCAAAACAUAAAGUAUCUAGAUACAAAAUAGUACUCUAAUGCAUAACAGGAAGCUACUAUGCUACUGUUCGGGCGCUAUACCCUUGCCGCGGUCCUCGAUCGGCACUCCCGCACUUAGCCCUGUAAUGAAAUGGGGUGAGAACUAUCUUCCAUAGUUCCCAGUGGGUUCGGCCGCCGACUCCACCGAUCUCCCCACUAGGUCCAAGUAGGCAAAAGUAACAACUAGAUAGAUAGAUAGAUAGAUAGAUAGAUAUCCAAAGCAGUAAAUGACAUAAUAGGGAAACUAUGCUACUAUGCCCAUAAUCACAAGUAAUGAAUGCACGCAUCAUUUAGUAAGAGUUUACUAUCAUGCUACUAUGUCCAAAUCAUGUCCAAUAAGCGAUGUUCAUUGACAAUGCUAUUCUUUCAUUUACCCAAUCCUUGGCGAAUCCCUUAGGUUCGCCCACGACCCACGUCAUCAUCUCGUAGGGUAAGGAGACUCAACUCGCUCUCGAACCCGGGAUUGUCUGCGAACAUCAACUCUGUCCUAAAUCGCUCGACACUCCAGAGUACUCGACGACAACUUGGAUGGCUAUACCACCCCGAAUGGCUAUACCACCCCAAUGACAGACCGUGAGCUUGAUCAACCUCUCAACUUGAGGACACCCUACGAACUAGGGCCAGCAAUUCUCUCGGAACUCACCUAUUCCGACAAUAAUGCACAAUUGCUUAGCUAUACUAAGUUUUUUAUUCAACGAGUCAUUUAAUAGGGAAUCCACCUAUCCCUAAGUUCAUAUGCCACUAGUGUCACUUUACACUACAUAUAUGCCACUCGUUCUGUUCACGUCAGUCACGAUGCCACUCAUCAUGUCUCUAGAUAACCAUCGAGUCCAUCUCUUUUUCUCAGUACUAUAGGAUUCAAUGUCAAGACCCAAUCCUCAUCUCACCUAUAUAUAUCAAGUAUUCAACUCAUACAUAAUAUCAACUAGCAAGCAUAAGGAAUGGAAAACAAUGCAAUCCUACAAUGCAUAUAUGUAAGAGAUGCGAAAUCAUGGAGUUCUAAGACAUAGAAAGGAAUUCGGUUGCUUCGGGAUGACACCCCCCACCUUUUGAGGGUAUGAAGGUUCUAGAAAUGCUUCUCGGCGUUCUUUACGACGAUGCCUCGGCCUCCUUGGUCCAAAACGAUGCUUAAUCGGCCUUAUUUCGCCGAUAUCUUUUCACCCGCUCGACGAAUCGAAAAUCCGACUUCGCCCCCGCGUUUAGGCACCUAGCAAUUAGCUUUAGAUGUCCACAAAUGAGAUCAAUCCCAUCAAUUCCUAAAAAUCCCAAUUUGGAGCCCUAGGUUGCAUCUAUAGCAAUAUCCACCCUCAAAGCUCCAAAUUCUAGCCUAAAGCAUCUAUUAAGAAUGCUAGGGUUCCAUUUGACCCAUUUCUAAAGCUAGAAAUUCAAAACCCUAGGCUCUACCAUUGUUAGGGUUUAGUAGCUUACCUCUUAGCUAGCUCCAAUGGGAUGAAGAGGGAUAGAGGAAAGUGGUGGAGAUGAUUUCCUCCAAGCUCUCCUACUUUUUCUUCUUCUCCUUCUUCUUCUUCUUCCUUUCUUUCUAGAGAGAGAGAGAGAAUAUGAGAGAUGGGAGGGAAAUAAGAGAGGGAGAGAGUGUGCUAUCCCCUCUAUACCCCUCACUUAUGGCAUUAUUGCAUAAAAGCCCCUCCACUUUUCCUCUAUCCAACUGCUCUGCCUGAGCAGAUUUCGUGCACGGAGACCGGUCCCUCUACGGGAGGACCGGUCCCUCCUUUCGAAGAUCGGUCACGGAGAGCAAUGCUCUCGCAGGACACUUACGGGAACGGGUCUGCCCCCAAGGGUCCGGUCCCCAAGAGACCGGACUGCCAUCCAGAGACCGGUCCCCGAGAGCAAUAAUGGUGCGCAGAGGGUUUUCCCCGCGCACCAAGCUUACAGGAACCGGUCCCUCAUACCAGGGAUCGGUCCCCGAGAGCUGAAUCUGCCAAGUGCAGAUUUUUGCACUAUUAGCUCUCGUGGACUCCAACUCCAAUGCACUUUUGGUGCUUAAGACAUCUUCGGCUUUUCCGAAGCAUACGCACUCGACAACUAGUUGAUUCUUGACGAAGUCCAACUCUUGGAUUUCGAGAAUUCACUUCCUUACACCGGGGAUUCUUAGAUACCAUUGAACAUUAUGUAGAGUAUUUGAAAUACCCUGGAAUCAAAUUUCGCAAUUUUUAAAAUCUCUCUCAUAGUGAUAGAAAGGCCUCAAAAUCAACAAGUUUUGAUGACCUAUAAGAGCUUUUUGUUCGUUUAAUGGUGUAAAACAAUCUAAAUCAGUUGCAUUUUUGACAAAAAGUCCUCUUCACCUCAAGUGCAUGUCCUAAAACUCCAAUCUUGAACUAAGGAAUUCUAACCUCUAUCUUAACUAAGGUUUUUAUUUUGACCACCCAUUUUUUGGCUACUUGAUACCCUAGAUGACAAUUUUCAAAAAUCAACAAAUUUGAUUCCUAGACAUUUUAAAUGCUCUAUAUCAUGUUUGACUGUAUCAAACGUUGAUUUAAAUGACCUCUUGUCAAAAAAAUAAAACAAAAUAAAAAUUGAUAGGACAAACAACUUUGUUCUCCUAAAAGGAUAGUAUCCAAGCCCAUAUAUUACAUUAAUGUUUGUUUAUUACAUAAGAAAGAUAUUGCAAAUAGUCCAUCACAAGUAUAUCCCUAUUUUGUAAGUAUAAAUAGUAUUUGAUUUGAUUUUGUAGAAAAGAUUUUCCCAACCAAACUAAAAUUAGAAACUAAAAUUCAUGAAAUUUGAAAACCAAACCAAACCAAAUAAACUAGUACUAGUUGUCUAAUCUAGUAUCUUUCAAUUGGGUUUUCAGACAAAAGCACAAAUAAAUGAACACCCUCAUUGGAUAAAUAGAUGAAAUAGAUACUUGUGAAAGAGCCAACAUGACAGUAAAUAUACAAUUUGAUCAAUGGAUGAUCGCAACCAAUCAACCAGAUUCUAAGAUCUAAAUUAAGUUUUGACAUUAAACUUCAUUUCCUUUUUAACUUUAUGUACAAAGAUUCACAUAGUACAUAAAUUCUCUAAGACUACUAGACUAGGGACUGACAAGAAUAGUUCACAUUUUUUUCUUAUAUUAACGAGGUGAAGGAAUUUUACCAAUAUUUUAAGUUCUCUUUAGUUUAGUUCAUUUAACUUAAAUGAAUUGGUCGAUGUCAUUAGUUUGAUAGUUUUCUCUUCAAUUACAGUAUAAGCAGUGUUUAAAAAAGCCCAAGGCGCACCUAGGCGCAAAGGGCUGUUGGAGCCUAGGCGCAAGGCGCAGGUGUGCGCCCGAGAGAGGUCAAGCGCGCACUUUCAUAGAAUUUUGAAAUAAGUAAAUAACCAAGAAGUGUCUUACUAUACUUUCUAAUAAUUGUUAAGUAGUACUAAAUAUACUUUAUAAAAUUAUAUUAUCACAAUAAAUAUUCUAUAAUUACCCAAAU